Molecule: ribosomal RNA, 482 nt
Filed under: uncultured bacterium
Lineage: Bacteria
Description: partial 16S ribosomal RNA
Rfam family: Bacterial small subunit ribosomal RNA
Source: RNAcentral
AUUGAACGCUGGCGGCAUGCUUUACACAUGCAAGUCGAACGGUAACAGCACUUCGGUGGCUGACGAGUGGCGAACGGGUGAGUAAUACAUCGGAACGUGCCUAGUAGUGGGGGAUAACUACUCGAAAGAGUAGCUAAUACCGCAUGAGAUCUAAGGAUGAAAGCAGGGGACCUUCGGGCCUUGCGCUACUAGAGCGGCUGAUGGCAGAUUAGGUAGUUGGUGGGAUAAAAGCUUACCAAGCCGACGAUCUGUAGCUGGUCUGAGAGGACGACCAGCCACACUGGGACUGAGACACGGCCCAGACUCCGACGGGAGGCAGCAGUGGGGAAUUUUGGACAAUGGGCGCAAGCCUGAUCCAGCAAUGCCGCGUGCAGGAUGAAGGACUUCGGGUUGUAAACUGCUUUUGUACGGAACGAAAAGCCCUCUUCUAAUACAGGAGGGUCAUGACGGUACCGUAAGAAUAAGCACCGGCUAACUACGUG